GUGGGGAAUUUUGGACAAUGGGCGCAAGCCUGAUCCAGCAAUGCCGCGUGUGUGAAGAAGGCCUUCGGGUUGUAAAGCACUUUUGGCAGGAAAGAAAUAGUGCGUGCUAAUACCAUGCGCGAAUGACGGUACCUGCAGAAUAAGCACCGGCUAACUACGUGCCAGCAGCCGCGGUAAGACGUAGGGUGCAAGCGUUAAUCGGAAUUACUGGGCGUAAAGCGUGCGCAGGCGGUUUUGUAAGACAGGUGUGAAAUCCCCGGGCUCAACCUGGGAACUGCACUUGUGACUGCAAGGCUAGAGUGUGUCAGAGGGAGGUGGAAUUUCGCGUGUAGCAGUGAAAUGCGUAGAGAUGCGGAGGAACACCGAUGGCGAAGGCAGCCUCCUGGGAUAACACUGACGCUCAGGCACGAAAGCGUGGGGAGCAAACAGGAUUAGAAACCCGGGUAGUCC
Molecule: ribosomal RNA, 450 nt
Filed under: uncultured bacterium
Lineage: Bacteria
Description: partial 16S ribosomal RNA
Rfam family: Bacterial small subunit ribosomal RNA
Source: RNAcentral